GAUGAACGCUAGCGGCAGGCCUAACACAUGCAAGUCGAGGGAGAGGUUAUCUUCGGGUAACCAAAACCGGCGCACGGGUGCGUAACGCGUAUACAAUCUGCCUUUCACAUAGGGAUAGCCCGAAGAAAUUUGGAUUAAUACCUAAUGGUAUAUAGGAGCGGCAUCGUUUUUAUAUUAAAGCUACGGUGGUGAAAGAUGAGUAUGCGUUCUAUUAGCUAGUUGGAGAGGUAACGGCUCCCCAAGGCGACGAUAGAUAGGGGUUCUGAGAGGGAUGUCCCCCACACUGGUACUGAGAUACGGACCAGACUCCUACGGGAGGCAGCAGUGAGGAAUAUUGGACAAUGGUCGGAAGACUGAUCCAGCCAUGCCGCGUGCCUGAUGAAGGUCCUAUGGAUUGUAAACUGCUUUUGUAAGGGAAGAAUAAGGAGUACUUCUACUUUGAUGACUGUAGCUUACGAAUAAGCAUCGGUUAACUCCGUGGGG
This 483-nucleotide ribosomal RNA is filed under the name uncultured Capnocytophaga sp. RNAcentral's name for it is "bacterial SSU rRNA". It matches the Rfam family "Bacterial small subunit ribosomal RNA", at positions 28 to 510 of the family's 1533-position model. Lineage: Bacteria; Pseudomonadati; Bacteroidota; Flavobacteriia; Flavobacteriales; Flavobacteriaceae. The record is from RNAcentral.